AACGACUCUCGGCAACGGAUAUCUCGGCUCUCGCAUCGAUGAAGAACGUAGCGAAAUGCGAUACUUGGUGUGAAUUGCAGAAUCCCGUGAACCAUCGAGUUUUUGAACGCAAGUUGCGCCCGAAGCUUCUGCUGAGGGCACGUCUGCCUGGGCG
RNAcentral lists this ribosomal RNA (154 nucleotides) under Silene schwarzenbergeri. Its description in RNAcentral is "5.8S ribosomal RNA". It matches the Rfam family "5.8S ribosomal RNA". From Rfam's summary of the family: 5.8S ribosomal RNA (5.8S rRNA) is a component of the large subunit of the eukaryotic ribosome. It is transcribed by RNA polymerase I as part of the 45S precursor that also contains 18S and 28S rRNA. RNAcentral also lists the same sequence under 1 other name. The record is from RNAcentral. Lineage: Eukaryota; Viridiplantae; Streptophyta; Magnoliopsida; Caryophyllales; Caryophyllaceae.